RNAcentral lists this long non-coding RNA (366 nucleotides) under Physcomitrium patens. RNAcentral describes it as "long non-coding RNA (PPAT_LNC005891)". Lineage: Eukaryota; Viridiplantae; Streptophyta; Bryopsida; Funariales; Funariaceae. The record is from RNAcentral.
UAAAUUUGAGCAGGUAUUGACAAUAUCCUUUACCUUGCUAUCUCAAAAGGUGCAUGAAUAAAUCUUACAAAAAUCUCAACACCUAAAGAAAAAAUCUAUAUAAUAAAUUAACUUAUAAAAACUUACAUCUAUGUCUUAUGUUAGUACAUAAUUUAAUUAUAGUAUAAGCUAUUCUUUAAUAAUAAAAUAGUCUCUAUACAAUUCACAAACAAAGACUUGAUUUUCUAUUAUAGCAACUGUAUACAUUAGUUUUUUGAAAAAAUCACACUUCAAUAAUUAAAGUUUUUUAUUGUCAAUCACUUCUUUUCAAAUGAUUUGAUCAACUUAAUAUAUUACUCUCUAAGAUAAAGUCAUCUUCAAGAAAAU